RNAcentral lists this non-coding RNA (22 nucleotides) under Arabidopsis thaliana (thale cress). The record is from RNAcentral. Lineage: Eukaryota; Viridiplantae; Streptophyta; Magnoliopsida; Brassicales; Brassicaceae.
ACACCAAAAGUCUAAGAAGGGA